RNAcentral lists this long non-coding RNA (481 nucleotides) under Homo sapiens (human). RNAcentral describes it as "HSALNT0383913". The record is from RNAcentral. Lineage: Eukaryota; Metazoa; Chordata; Mammalia; Primates; Hominidae.
CUCGACCCAGAUCGCUCCCGGCCCGCCGCUCACCUUGAAGUUGACCGGGUCCACCCGAAGCUUGUGCGCGUGCAGGUCGCUCAGGGCGGACAGCGCGUUGGGCAUGUCGUCCACGUGCGCCACGGCGUUGGUCAGCGCGUCGGCCACCUUCUUGCCGUGGCCCUUAACCUGGGCAGAGCCGUGGCUCAGGGCGGACAGCGCGUUGGGCAUGUCGUCCACGUGCGCCACGGCGUUGGUCAGCGCGUCGGCCACCUUCUUGCCGUGGCCCUUAACCUGGGCAGAGCCGUGGCUCAGGUCGAAGUGCGGGAAGUAGGUCUUGGUCUGCGGGUGGCUGAGGAAGAGCCUGGGACGGGGGGCGGGGGCCGUGAGCUCCCAGCAGCGCGGCCUCCCGCCACGGCCCACGCGCCCUGCGGCCCUCUCCGAGCACCGGGACACAUCUGCGACCCCGCAGCAGGCCCCAGCCCCUCCUCGCGGGGCCCGG